AGAGAGAGAGAGAGACAGAGACAGAGAGAGAGAGAGAGAGAUUAUAAUGAACACUUUCCGUGUGAAAAUUACACUGGGGUCUGAGGCACGCCGACAACAAAAGCGACGUGCUUGAGAAACAACAGCCACGCUGCUCAUACAUGAGCGGACUGGCUGGGCUGUGGAGGAGGCUGUUCCUCCUCUUCCUCCUGAAACACACACACAGCUACAGUCCCGGCUGCAAAGCCCAAAGACAGAGACUGCAACACACCCGGCACUGACAGCGUAUCUAAUAGGUGUAGGAUGCUGCAGCUGGCUACGCUGUGCCUGUACACACGAGGAUAAAAGCCGAAUCUCUUACUGGCCGUGUUACGAGCAUCUCACAUA
Polyodon spathula (Mississippi paddlefish) is the source of this 366-nucleotide long non-coding RNA. RefSeq lists it as uncharacterized. The record is from RefSeq and is a predicted model, not a curated record. NCBI's taxonomy places the organism in Eukaryota, Metazoa, Chordata, Actinopteri, Acipenseriformes, Polyodontidae. The transcript has 3 exons.